GUUACCGUUCUUUCAUAGCCAAAGAAAUUUUGAAUGCAGUGAAGGAUGUGGAACCAAAGAAUACAACAAAGGAAAUACCAAGCAAAUACGGACUGCGGGAGCAAGUUCCAGUGAAGAGAUUUUCGGAUUCGUGGUGUGCUGACCAACCUCUGCCAUUGAAACGA
Haliotis rufescens (red abalone) is the source of this 164-nucleotide long non-coding RNA. RefSeq lists it as uncharacterized. The record is from RefSeq and is a predicted model, not a curated record. Lineage: Eukaryota; Metazoa; Mollusca; Gastropoda; Lepetellida; Haliotidae. The transcript has 3 exons.